Molecule: long non-coding RNA, 304 nt
Organism: Gossypium arboreum
Lineage: Eukaryota; Viridiplantae; Streptophyta; Magnoliopsida; Malvales; Malvaceae
Exons: 2
Source: RefSeq, a predicted model, not a curated record
CAUGGUUCUUUCAACCGAAAAUGAGAAAAGAAAAAAAGUUCAUGGAAGCCAUUAGGGUUCGGCAACUUCAAGCUUUAAUUAAGUUUCGGAGACUUGCUCGGGUUGGAAGUCGUUGGAGACCACAUCACACUAUCUAGUUAUCACUUCGGUAAUUAAAAGCCUUAAGUUUUUGGUUAUGUGGCAUGUAUAGGCUAAAUUCAAUGUGGUUCAUUUUGAUUUGUAUAUGUAGCCAUGCGAGAAUGGCUUGUUAAUGAUGUUAAUGUUUGUGUAUAUUCAAGCAUGGUAUAAGCUUAUUUUUGAGAAA